RNAcentral lists this ribosomal RNA (460 nucleotides) under uncultured bacterium. Its description in RNAcentral is "partial 16S ribosomal RNA". It matches the Rfam family "Bacterial small subunit ribosomal RNA", at positions 338 to 795 of the family's 1533-position model. The record is from RNAcentral.
CCUACGGGAGACAGCAGUGAGGAAUAUUGGUCAAUGGACGAAAGUCUGAACCAGCCAUGCCGCGUGAAGGAUGACGGCUCUAUGGGUUGUAAACUUCUUUUAUACGGGAAUAAAACCAGGUACGUGUGUCUUUCUGCAUGUAUUUUAUGAUUAAGGAUCGGCUAACUCCGUGCCAGCAGCCGCGGUAAUACGGAGGAUGCGAGCGUUAUCCGGAUUUAUUGGGUUUAAAGGGAGCGUAGAUGGGUUGUUAAGUCAGUUGUGAAAGUUUGCGGCUCAACCGUAAAAUUGCAAUUGAUACUGGCAGUCUAGAGUACAGUUGAGGUAGGCGGAAUUCGUGGUGUAGCGGUGAAAUGCUUAGAUAUCACGAAGAACACCGAUUGCGAAGGCAGCUUACUAAACUGUGACUGACAUUGAGGCUCGAAAGUGUGGGGAGCAAACAGGAUUAGAUACCCCAGUAGUC